CUGCAAAACCCCCCAAAAAUUUGAAAACACGUGGCAGCAAUUCUUUGAAUUCAAAAAGUACACUGCACUAUGGAAAGAACGGUACAUACAUUUUACGUAGGUUGCCUUUAAGUGGGUCAUAUAAGUUUUGCCAUCAAUUUAGCAACCUUAAGGGGCAAGUUUGGUUAAAACUCUACAGAAAAAAAAAAAAAAAAAAAAAACAGUAGACACAUCUACUUGAAAACCCCAAAAUUUGAAAACGCCCGGUAGCAAUUCUUGAAUGCAAAAUUAAAAAAUGGAUUUUGAUGAUUGGGAAUUGAGUGCAGAAGAAUUAGACAAUCUUGAAAGAGAUGCUUUAAAGCAAAUUGCUGAGCGAAAUGCAUCUUCUUCUUCUGCUACUACUAGUAAUGCUUUUCGGGUUACACAUAAACGGGAAGAUGCGUUAUCUGCUGCACUUACAAUGAGGCCUUCAUCAGGGUAGAUAAGGUCUCUGGGAAAAACUCUUGUGGAAAUUCUGGGCCUCAUGAAUGCAAUCAUGUGAAACAGUUAACAGAAAAGCGUUCUGUUAAAUUUUUCCUUCAUGCAACUGGAAAUAUUGCUGCAAAGUUUUCAUAUGACCAGAUACUUGUUGAAGCUUUCCGCAAAAUCCCUAGAGCUAGUUGGAGUGCAAAAGAGAGGUAUUCUUCUCCUUUUCUUUUUUAUGCUUCCCUCCACCCUCAAUUUUCCUUUUCCUUUCAAAUAAGUCUAGGCAGGCAGCAAGCUGCUACGCAAUAUCCCCCGUCAUGCCCUAUUUUUUAACAGGUUAAAAUUAGUUCUUAGUUCACAACUUAUGACUAUGUUUCCUCUGGUUUUGAAAAUUUUCAGAGUCGCCACCUAAUUUUAGGAAAUAUUAGGAAACCAUUUGUAAAAAAAAGUAAACUCCAUUUUUUAGUCUUUGAAACCUGUGAGAUUCUAGGUAAGAGUUUUAUUUACCCCGAGGGGAAGGUGUUAAGCAUCCCUCAGAGCCUAUCCGAAGACAGUCUUUAAACUUAGCUUAAUUAGCACUAGAGGGAAAUUAUUUCUUAUUUAUUGUCACCUAUUUAAAGAAUUGCGGAAAAGAAACUACUCUCUCAAAACUAUUUGUAUAAAAAAGGGUUUUUUAAUGUAAUUGUAACUAUGUGAGUAAAUGCAUAUAUAUAAAGGAAGUAGUUAAUGCUAAUGUGUGCAUGAGAAAAAUAUGUAUGACAUUUGUUUUAUCUAGAGUAAUAUGGAUAAUAUAGAAUAAGAGGAUAUAUAUAUAUAUUUUAUAAGAAAAUAAUGUGUAUACGUGAUAUGUAUAUCAUGGGUAACUAAAAAAAAUAGUUAUUGAUGACAUGAUAGUACUAUAUAGAUGCAUAAAUGUAAAGACGACCGAGAGAAUUAAUGGAAAUAAGGUAGUAUAUGUAUGACAUUUGUUUUAUCUAGAGUAAUAUGGAUAAUAUAGAAUAAGAGGAUAUAUAUAUAUAUAUAUAUAUAUUAUAAGAAAAUAAUGUGUAUACGUGAUAUGUAUAUCAUGGGUAACUAAAAAAAAUAGUUAUUGAUGACAUGAUAGUACUAUAUAGAUGCAUAAAUGUAAAGACGACCGAGAGAAUUAAUGGAAAUAAGGUAGUAUAUGUAUGGUACGUGUUUAAAAAAAAAAAUAGUAUGUAGGCAUACUCAUUGUAAAGUUAUAUGUACUAGAGAUGUAUAUUAUUUACAAAAAAGAGUACAAGUGUAUUUUUUGAAGAUUAGGUAUAAAUAUGGCUAUUGUAUAUAAGGACAGUAUAUAUAAUAUAGAGUAUGAAAAUACAUAUUUUUUAUGAGAAAAUAAUAUAUCCAUGGAGUAUGUCUAUCAUAUGUAAAAAUAGUAUAAAGAGGUAUACUUUUUAGAAAUAGCCAUGGAAAAUAUAAUAAUAUGUAUAAAUAUCGUGAUAUAUAUAUAUAUAUACACACACACAUUGUGUAAAGAUGAUUGGAUGAUUUUAGUAAAAAAUAAGAUAGUAUAUAUAUAUGUAUAUAAAAAAAAAUAGAGUAUGUACCUCAUAGCUCUCGCCUCUCGCAAAAUAACUUGGGCCACUAUACUUGAGCCCUGAUAUAAAGUUCUUAAUUAAACUUGAAAACAUAAAAAAAAAUCUACUUUCAUGUCAGUAAUACAAUAGUUGAAAAACUGAUUUGGGCCCUUUCUCGAAAAAUCAUUUUUCCUUUGAGCCAAUGUAACCUCUUUGAAACCACGUUCAAAUCCAUUUUGAGAAAAACUUGGCUUACGCCCUUAUACUUUCAGAUAGGCUGAAAAAUAUUGUUAUCCGCAACAUAAUUUGUAAAGAGGCUUCUACCAUUUAUACUAAAAAAAAUUAAAAGAAAAAUCAUCUCAUCCUAAAAGUACGCUAAAAAGGAGGUCAUUUAAAAAUGAUUAAUAAAAUACCUUUUACUCUAAAUCAAGGUUAGCAUCUAAAGAGGGAGGGAAAUCAACGAGUGUUCACUAUCACGUAAAAGUCUGUUUACGCAAACCCAAACACAAAUUAAUCAAAGCGUAAAUACAAAUACCAAAUUGGUACAAUUGUUAGUCAAAUCGUAUGUAUAAAAAAGAAGAAGAUAAAAGUAAGAAGAGAGGGAAAAGGACGUGGACGCGAACGAGGCUGCUAGACACAAGCGAAUGACAUUGCUGUUUCUUUAUUUCCGAGCAGUCUUGGAGUUGUCAUACAACUCCAGUAUACUCCUUAUCCGUGACAGCGAACUGAGGCUAUUGUCAUCGUCGAGUCUCCGAAUCCGCUCAAAGUUAUUUGUUGUCAAGCCGAGAACUUGAAAGAAGAUUUCAAUAACCAAAAAAACUUAGAGUUAAAAACUGGAAUUUUCCCCGAACCCAAGUUCUAAAGCAAUAGGAAUUUUAUAAGAGGGAAAACUUAUGAAAAACAAAAGACUUUUUUGUGGUUCUUUAACCUUGUCUAAAACAGCCCUCAAAGGCCAGUAUUUAUAGCUGAAGAUUGGAGCAUUUCAACAGCUUCUUCAAGAAGCUUCUUUCGCCUUUGAAUUUCGAAUCAAAGAGGGGGGAAAAAUUGACGUUUUCAACAGAUGAGAUGGUGAAAGGGGUGAAAUCUCACCUUUUCAGACUGAUUGGGAAGGGAAAAGGUCGUUGGGGUGUAGAGUAUGGUGGUUCUUGCCAUUGUUCAUCGAAUUGAAGGACGAUUAUCUUCCAGACCGAAGGAUUUAAGAAUCUUUCCCUUUACAGCUUUGGAAACGUCUUCAAUGAAAAUGGGAAAAGGUGAUAGGUGAUAGGCGAUAGGAGAUGGGUGAUGGGAGAAAAGGCGACUGAUGAGGACAGUGGCGUCGAUGACCACUUUGAUCCAGCAGUCCGACAGUGGAGCCGGCGGUGAGGUGACGGAAGUGACAAGGGUGGUGGCGAUGGGGUGGGUGGUGACGCUAGGUUUCACUUUUGGGAGAGAAAAGGGGCUGGUCUGAUUAUUUAGUUAGGAUGAAAAAAUGGGUUGAAGACUUAGUUGGGUAUUUUAGUGUUUGUUGGGCUGGGUCGGGUCGGUGGGGUUUUGGGCUGGGGCGGUUGGUGUUGGGCUGAACGUUUUGGGCUGCUGAAUUGUGAAGAUUUGAGAAUUAGUUUGGCCCAAUUCAAUAGAUGAAUUUAAUCAUCCUAAUUCCUUUUCAUUUUGAACUAAUUAAAAUAUGCUUCUUUGUCCUAAUUAAUUCUCUACAUAUGAAAAUUAUAACACAAGUAAUUUAAUAUACGUAUUUAGCUUAAAAUAGAAUAACCGAUGAUUAACAUAGUAAUAAACAGGAUUAAAGGAAAAAUGCCAACGCCAAUAUUGAUACAGGAAUAUCAACACUAUUUUUUGAGUGAUUUAAUUGUAAAGAAUGAUGUUUAGUAAUUUUUAUAAUUAAAAAUAUGGUGUUUGGUAAUAUUUUAGAAACAAUAAGAAUGUUAUUAACUUUAGAGAAAUAUAUCUCGAAAAAUAGCGUAAUAAUUAAUGAAAAUAUUCCAAGCUCAUUCUGGCGAAUUUUCAGGACUGAGAAGCAUAGUGAAAUUAAUUAAACGAAAAAGGAGGGCCAAAAUUGGGUGUCAACACCCCCCGCCCCACAACAACAACAAUCUCAGUCCCAAGCUAGUUAGAAUCGGCAAAAUGAAUCCUCAUUUCCAAUAAACCCCGAAAAAGAGGAGAUAUAGGAAUUAAAAGUCUAAAAGAAACAAAAAGGCAUCAUGUUUUCUGGGAUUUCACCCAAGUACGCAAACUGAUAGCAAAUAUUUCUUCAUUGUAUUCUUUUCUCUUGUGAAUUGUGACCCUAAACUGCCUUAUUGUGGAUGUCAAGUAUAUUCGUAAUCUGUGUCAUAAAAAAAGAAAAAAAAGAAAGAAUAUUUAUUUUCUGGGAAGUACUACCCUCCCAUCUUUUGAAUUGCUCCAUCCUUAAGACAAUGACAUUUUUUAUUUUGUUUUUGACUCUGUGGUGUUAUAUCGUUAGAUUAUGGGUUGACCAAGAAUCUUAAAUCAUGUUUGCCAAGGACGAUUUUAAAAUUCAAAUGCAGUGAGUCCCUCUUUAAAUGUUGUAGGUUGUGAAUGUUUCCUUUGUCAUCGUUGUUGGUAGCAGAAAAAGUUCUUCGUGAAUUUUUUGGCUCCAAUCAACCCUCAGGGGUUGGCCUGGUGGCAAUUGACUUGAGCCUUGGAGUGCUCCCUUUCAAGGUCUCAAGUUCGAAACCCGCUGGGUGCUCUGAGGGCCAUCGGACCGGGGAAACCCUGAAUUACCCGUGGUGCACUUGCGGGAAACUCCUUGCCGAGGGCCUGUGCACCCCCGGGAUUAGUCGAGUCUCAAAGAGACUCGGACACCCGGUGCUAAUAAAAAUAAAAAAAAAAUUCUGGCUCCAAUCUGGAGGUGAGGAGUUGCAAUUCCUUUUGGUCUUCCCGAAUUACAGUUUCCCAAAUUCAGAUGAGACUACAAAAACAAUUAGGAGUUAGCUUCGGUGGAACUUAAAUAUCUUGAAUCUUCUUCGGCUGCAUAUGGCAUAUGAUAGCAGCAUCGCGCUGCCGCAUGAUGUCAUUUAGGUAACAACAGUUUUACUAGGUUACUAACCCUAGCGUUGGGGUUGUUCCCACCAGAACAAGUCCAUCAAACGCCUUAAAAUGCCAUCCUCAGCUAAGCGGGUUAACAACAGGACCACCGCCUGGUUAUGAACAGUCCGCCUGGGUCGGUCUCUAUCUAACCUUGAACAUCAUGUUUUGGCUUUGAUCAUAAUACAUUAUUACCAUGAUCUCAGUAGUCUAGUGUGACGUAAUUCAACGGAGUAUUUAGCCUAUAAGGCUAAACAUAGACUGAAUGAAAAUAAAAAUUUAAAAAGAAAAUAAAAAAUUUAUACCUUAAAGGAUGAAGGUUGUGCUCAGUAGAGAAGGAAUUUAUAUAAACAGACUUUUAUUUAUGAGGGAAGAUUUUUACAAGAGAGUGGUAGAGGGCUUGUGCUUGAAUAUCCAAGACUUGCCUUCUUCCUAAGAAGGAUGAUCCUUAUAUAACGGAUCAAACACACUGAACAACAAAAUAAAAAUGGCCGACAACAUCAUGGCCAGGUAAAAGUAAAAACGGAAAGUAAAAAGUAAAAGUGGCCGAAGUGACCAAAAGGGAAAACAUAAUUAUUACAAUACAAAUAAUUAAAGUUGCUUUAUAAAAGCAAAUUCCUCUUUAUUCAAGUAGCCGCCUAAUGGCGGGUCCCACCAAUCACUUCAUUGGUGACUUGCCCUUGUCUUUUGUAGGGCUGGAAGAUUCUUCCGUCUGGCCAAUGAAUUGGGCCAUGAUUUGUGAAAAGUCCUCAGUAUUAUCUGGAUUUUGAGAUUCUCCUGUUAAGACUUAAGUAUUAUGAUCAUCUUCUUCUUCAUCAUCAUCAUUAUCAGUGGUAUGACCGACAGAUGCUAUUGAUGUAUCAGAAAUAGCUUCCAUAUUAAGAUGCUGCAGUAAAUCAUAUUUAAAUUCCUCCAUGUAUGUGGCUAUAAGCUGCUCUGGGGGAAUUGCUUCUUUCUUCAUCUGAAUUUUUCGAGCAAUAUGCUCAAAAGUACUAAAUCUCCUUUUGUCUGGAAUUAAUGGAGUCUUUAUAAUGUGCAAUGGUGGUUUUAAUCUGAUUUAUUAAAUCUUGUCCUGGGAUAGUUCCAUCUUUUGAUUUUUGAAUCAGUUUUUUUUUCAGAAUUUUGUAUAAAAACAUCUGUUUAAACAAGGCAUAUUUUGCGGGGUAUAACCCACUUCAACCGACCAUUUCAUAAUCCAUGGAAUAGAAAAUUUAAUGAAGAAAUACAUAUUAGAAAUUUCUUCAGAGAAGGUGCUAUUAUUUUUCAAAAUUAUAAUUUUUGGAGAAACAUCAACCCAUUCAUUAUAUAAACUUUUGAAGGGUUCUGGUAGAAAUUUUACUGUUGGACCAUAGUAGAUCCACCAUUGAUAAAACCAAUUUGGAAUGCCCUGUUUAUAAACAUUGGCACAGAUUUUUAUAAACCAUGAGUGUUUUCUAUUAGGAUUCUCAUAUAGAAAAGCUUUAUUAAAACUUUUAACAUAAUCCCAAUAAUUAAAUUUAAUUGGGACCUUUUGUUCGGGGUGGAUAUAAUCCCUGUCCUUUAAUGGACUUAUUUCCCACUCAUUUGGAGAAAAUAUCUUUUUUAUGAUAAUUUUUGAAAAGUUAUAAACUUUUUUGCUAUUAGCAGGAUAAAAAUGAUACCCUGUAUAUGAAAGGAUCAUUUCAUAAUUCAUCCGAUAUUUAUAAGUCGGAGUAGUGUAUGACGCUGUAUCAAAAUACCUUUGCAUUAUUUGCCAAGGUUCGUCCUUCCAUUGGAGAUCAUCAUUUUCAAGGAGAAUUAUUAACUCUCGAUGGAUAUUUUCUUCGUAUGAAUCAGUGUCCUCAUUAUCAUCUGUUACGAGAGCACUGGAAUAUGAUGGAGGCAUAUUAUCCCCUUUUUUCCAUGCUUCUAUGAAAGCAAGAUACUCAGCAUAAGUGAUUUGUUUCUGGGUAUUACCAGAAGUUUCUGCAAUAUUAUCGGCUAUUAGCCUUUUGUUAUCCAUUUGGGCAAGAGCAGUGCCUCUGCCCGUUCCUUUUGUCCUCUUCCCCUUCCUCUAUUAGAGGUGGGUGAUUGUGUGGGUCUCAUCCUGCAAAUGAGAAAAUGACAGUUAUGAACUUAAAUAUUCUCGAGUGAGAAAAUCAGGAAGAUUAUUAUCUGAUCCCUUUUUAUAAUGUAUUUCAAAAUCAAAUGGUGCUAAAAGAGCUUGCCAUCUGACAAACAUUUGUUUAGAAACAUCAUCUCUUAGCAGGAGAAUCUCAAAGUCCAAAUAAUACCGAGGACUUUUCACAAUUCAUGGCCCAAUUCAUUGGCCAGACGGAAGAAUCUUCCAGCUCUACAAAAGACAAGGGCAAGUCACCAAUGAAGUGAUUGGUGGGACCCGCCACUAGGCGGCUACUUUAAUAAAAAGGAAUCUGCUUUUAUAAAGCAACUUUAAUUAUUUUUAUUGUAAUAAUUAUGUUUUCCCUUUUGGUCACUUUCGGCCACUUUUACUUUUUACUUUCCGUUUUUACUUUUACCUGGCCAUGAUGUUGUCGGCCAUUUUUAUUUUGUUGUUUAGUGUGUUCGAUCCGUUAUAUAAGGAUCAUCCUUCUUAGGAAGAAGGCAAGUCUUGGAUACCCAAGCACAAGCCCUCACCACUCUCUUGUAAAAAUCUUCCCUCAUAAAUAAAAGUCUUUUUAUAUAAAUUCUUUCUCUACUGAGCACAACCUUCAUCCUUAAGGUAUAAAUUUUUUAUUUUCUUUUUAAAUUUUUAUUUUCAUUCAGUCUAUGUUUAGCCUUAUAGGCUAAAUACUCCGUUGAAUUACGUCACACUAGACUACUGAAAUCAUGGUAAUAAUGCUUUAAUGAAUCAUGAUCAAAGCCAAAACAUGAUGUUCAAGGUUAGGUAGAGACUGACCCAGGCGGACUGUUCAUAACCAGGCGGUGGUCCUGUUGUUAACCCGCUUAGCCGAGGAUGGCGUUUUAGGGCGUUUGAUGGACUUGUUCUAGUGGGAACAACCCCAACGCUAGGGUUAGUAACCUAGUAAAACUGUUGUUACCUAGAUGACAUCAUGCAGCAGCGCGAUCCUCAAAUUAGUUGGUAUUGUCAUAACAAACUCUCUAUAUUCAUUUUUGUUAGAUUAAAAUUGAUUUUAUUCAAAUAUAUUUAUAUUUUGUAUUUAAACCAAAUUAAAAAAUACUUAAUAUGAAAGGUUCUCUAAGAUCUUAUACUUAUUCAUACAAGUAAAAUGGUAGUAUAUUAAUUAAACCUGCUAUUAAGAGAUGGGACCAAUGAAGCAUGGACAUUGGCAUCCUUUUGGUAACAAGGAACAUGGCUGUUCCAGAAGCUAAAUUAAUAUAUGGUGAUUAACUAAUACUGUCCCGUUGACAGUUGAAUGAUGAAAACAAAAUUAAUUAUGCCCCGAAAUGCAGGGUAGGACUGUUGACACCCAAUUUCGUCCCUUCAUUAUUCCAAUUUAUUUCCUUGGGCAUCUAAAUUUAUUAACGAGCUAAAUACUUUGUUUUCGCUACUAUUUUCUAUUUCACUACUAUUAAUAUCGUUACUUUCAUUUUCACUGUUUUACUAUCAACAUUACUAGCAUUACGUUAUCACAUUUUUUUUUUUUAUAGUUCGUCUUCAUUUCAUUUUCGGAUUUGGACUCGUUAAAUUAAUUACAAGUCAACACUUUAUUAAAUCCUUACUUUCUACAUAUUAAUUACUAAUUGUCUUCACAUAGUAUACAUUGUACUAGUUAUUAAGUUAGAAGCCCAAAAGAAUUAAUUAGAAGAAGAAAUACCCAACAAAUUCAGCUAGCCCAAUUCGUGACUAGUCUUUUUUUUUUUUAAAAAAAAACAGAUCAGCCCACAAAUGUUUCAAAACCACCCAACCCACCAGGCGAGACCAGCCCAUUACCCUCUACCCGCUCCUACCCGACCCGGCCCACUCUCUUUUAAACCCAUCCGUCGUCCACAAGCAAAAGAAGAGGAAAACGUAAAGGGAAAAUGAGCGCAGCCACGCCUCCAUUUCCUUGUCGUCUUCUCUUCUCUCUCCCCUCCAUUUCCAGCAAAAGCCUAGCCCUCUUUAGCCAUGAACAGGCUUGUCUACCACAUUUUCGUACCAAAUUUGUCGUUCUUUCUGUUACCUGCAUGUGUUUGUCGAUUGAAAGGGAAAGGUCUGCUCAUCUUGCUUCAAAACACGCGAUAAUCUCCAAAAUCAGAGAAAGUCUAGCCAUUUUGAGUAAGAUCUGAAGCCAAUCACGUGAAUAGUGUUUGGUUUCUAAUUUGGCAUGGCCAUAAUUAUUAGUCCUGUUUAGAUUAGCUUAACCAUCUGUUAGUUCUCAGUUAAGAUGAUCUUGCUUUCAUUAAACGUAUGUUUGUUUGCUUCUGUUUGUUAAGCCAGGAAUUGGCGUAUAAAUUUUAUGGGAAUGAGUCAGCCUGAAUGUUGUCUGGUUUCAGUCUAGUGAACUCUAAAGAAUUUCCUAUAAGAGCAUACGUGAAAAGAGAUUUAGUCUCAGAUACUUGUUUCGUCUUGUUUGGUUUCAAAUCUGUUACUGUCCAUUAAAGUCUAGUUUAGUUGUUUUCAUGAUAAGUAACUUAGGCCAUUAGUUCAGUAAUCUUCCUUCGUUUCAUUUUAGUUCAGUUCUUAGUUUGGCUGCUGCACAAGUAUAAAAAAAAAAAAUGAAAUUAUUUGUUGGUUAUUUAUUUUGUAAGUUUAUUUAAGGCAUGACACUGCACUUUCUUAUGGCCAGGCAUGAGAAUAUGUUUUUGUUAUAUGUUUAAGUUCCGUUGUGUUUGAUAAGUUUGUAGCCUUACUCUUUUUCCUCUUCCCUGAUCAAAAGCCUAUCGUAAAUGCCUCAUAAUGUUCAGUUAUUUGCUUGAUUUGAGAUAUGUGAUCGAGGUAUAAAUAUUAAUCAAGGGUUCAGUUUGCCCUGUUUUACCUUCAAUGAGAGAAGUUUAAUACUCCUUAUGUGAUUCUUGAUAAGUUUUAAGUUCCAAUCUGUCAGUCCAUUUCUUUUUAGUUUGCUUUCUUUUUGUCAAUUGUAGUUGGGAUAUUUUAUCAUUAUCGACAAGUAUCUGCAGUAAUAGGCAUCAUGCCCACUGGUUCAGUAUUUUAUUUGGUUUGAUUUUGUUAUAAUACUAAAAAUGUUCUUUGUUCAAAUGCUAUCUAGAAACUAUAAAGUAGUAACUCUUUUGUUGGUUAAUUUACGGUGCUACUUUUUGUAUUCCACAUGAUGCUUAGAUUAAUUUAUGUAUAGGAAUCAUGUUUUAGGAUCUGUUUCUUAACUAUGUGCUGUAAUCACAUGUUGUGAAGAAAUUAUAGGCUCUGGACUUACCUCUGGGUAAGUCGAGUUACAAGUCGUGUGUAUUUUUUUUGUGAUUAUAUGUCCAGAUAUAAUGUUUUCAUCUACUUAAGGAAAGAUGUUUACCAGUUUAAGCAUAAAGUUGAUUCAGAUGACCUUCUUCUUUAAGUAUUACGAUUUCUAUUGUAUAAAGAAGACAAGUUCUGUCAAAUGAGAUAGUCAUUUGAAGAUGAACUUUAUGAUUAUUAUUUUAUGCGAGUAUGUUGGGCUAUUCUUUCUUAUCUAUGAUUGAAGGUGUUGGGUCGCAUGUACAUUUUACAGCUUGUUUGUCAUCAUGAGUUAUUUCUUAAGUCGUGUUUGAAUUGGUCAUCCUUGUGUUAAGCUCUUUUCUUGAUUGAAUUUGCUAAGCAUGGAUACCUUCUAAUCAUUAUUCUCCCUUUCUUUUACAUGUACAUUCCGGAGCAAAAUGGAGACUCCCACUGCCCGAGCAGUCUCAUUUGGAGACUAUGCCGCCGCUAAAUCCGAUAGCAUCUCCUACUCAUUUCCCUCACAUACUCCUCUCGAACUACAGCCAGACAAAAAAACGAAUGAGAGGGGUGAAGCGAAACAGUGGACAUCCUGUUUAUAGUUUUCAAUUUUUCUUACUCUUAUACACUGUUUAUGUGGUUUUCUUUGUCUAUUUGGAUGAUUGUUUGACUGUGAUGUUAGACCUUGUGGUGAGGUUAUUUUACCUAGAGCUUGACCCUAUAAGAAUUAGUCUCGAGUGAUUAAUUUUAGGAAGCAAUAACCAAGAUGUGUUAACCAUAUUAUUAGUCGUAACUGAGCGAACACUUUAGUAAAAAAUGGCUUUUAUUUCAA
Molecule: long non-coding RNA, 11140 nt
Organism: Lycium barbarum (goji berry)
Lineage: Eukaryota; Viridiplantae; Streptophyta; Magnoliopsida; Solanales; Solanaceae
Exons: 4
Source: RefSeq, a predicted model, not a curated record